RNAcentral lists this transfer RNA (85 nucleotides) under Felis catus (domestic cat). It matches the Rfam family "tRNA". Rfam says of the family: Transfer RNA (tRNA) molecules are approximately 80 nucleotides in length. Their secondary structure includes four short double-helical elements and three loops (D, anti-codon, and T loops). Further hydrogen bonds mediate the characteristic L-shaped molecular structure. tRNAs have two regions of fundamental functional importance: the anti-codon, which is responsible for specific mRNA codon recognition, and the 3' end, to which the tRNAs corresponding amino acid is attached (by aminoacyl-tRNA synthetases). tRNAs cope with the degeneracy of the genetic code in two manners: having more than one tRNA (with a specific anti-codon) for a particular amino acid; and 'wobble' base-pairing, i.e. permitting non-standard base-pairing at the 3rd anti-codon position. Lineage: Eukaryota; Metazoa; Chordata; Mammalia; Carnivora; Felidae. The record is from Rfam by way of RNAcentral.
GCCUGGGUGGCUCAGUCGGUUGAGUGUCUGACUUUGGCUCAGGUCAUGAUCUCACAGUUCGUGAGCUCGAGCCCCACGUCAGGCU